UGUCCAAGGAUGGGAAUCGAACCCACAGUGUUCUGCUUACCGGGCAGAUGCCAUGUCCACUAGGUUACAUGAC
RNAcentral lists this transfer RNA (73 nucleotides) under Cordylochernes scorpioides. RNAcentral describes it as "tRNA-Thr". Lineage: Eukaryota; Metazoa; Arthropoda; Arachnida; Pseudoscorpiones; Chernetidae. The record is from RNAcentral.